This is a small nuclear RNA of Xiphias gladius (swordfish), 182 nucleotides long. RefSeq annotates it as U2 spliceosomal RNA. The record is from RefSeq and is a predicted model, not a curated record. NCBI's taxonomy places the organism in Eukaryota, Metazoa, Chordata, Actinopteri, Istiophoriformes, Xiphiidae. The transcript has a single exon.
AUGAGUGUCAAUGAACUUUUUCGAAAGAAAAUCUGUUCUUAUCAGAUUAAUACCUGAUAUGUCCUCCGUAUGGGUAUAACAUUAAAAAGAUUUUUGGUAACGGGAGCUGAAAAAGGAGCUUUCUCCAUUCACUCCACGCAUCGACCUGGCAUUGGAGAGCUGACAGGAACCGUGCACCCUUC